RNAcentral lists this unclassified non-coding RNA (260 nucleotides) under Hevea brasiliensis (rubber tree). Lineage: Eukaryota; Viridiplantae; Streptophyta; Magnoliopsida; Malpighiales; Euphorbiaceae. The record is from RNAcentral.
GGCUGCAGCUACGUUGUUCGGUUAUAUUUAUGUUUAUGUUACUUGUGGAGUCUGUUCAAUUUGAUGAACAAUGUAUUUUGGUGAGGCCAAGCAUGUGGCUUAGCUCUGCAUCUCUACGCUUAUCGAUAUAUAAUAAUUAAUUAUUUCAAGCAAGGAUAUCCUCUAUGUGUUUGCCUUCCAAUUUGGAUUUCUCAAUGUCCUUUAAUGCCUUCUCCUUAGCCAAUUUCUUAAGCCUGGCUAGCUCAAGGUCCUUGCUCAUC